This 162-nucleotide ribosomal RNA is filed under the name uncultured bacterium. Its description in RNAcentral is "partial 16S ribosomal RNA". It matches the Rfam family "Bacterial small subunit ribosomal RNA", at positions 355 to 509 of the family's 1533-position model. The record is from RNAcentral.
UGGGGAAUUUUGGACAAUGGGCGCAAGCCUGAUCCAGCCAUGCCGCGUGAGUGAAGAAGGCCCUCGGGUUGUAAAGCUCUUUCGGCCGGGAAGAAAUCGUGUUCUCUAACAUAGGACAUGGAUGACGGUACCGGACUAAGAAGCACCGGCUAACUACGUGCC